RNAcentral lists this ribosomal RNA (411 nucleotides) under uncultured bacterium. RNAcentral describes it as "bacterial SSU rRNA". It matches the Rfam family "Bacterial small subunit ribosomal RNA", at positions 392 to 793 of the family's 1533-position model. The record is from RNAcentral.
CCAUGCCGCGUGUGUGAAGAAGGCCUUCGGGUUGUAAAGCACUUUCAGUAGGGAGGAAGGUAGUGUAGUUAACACCUGCAUUAUUUGACGUUACCUACAGAAGAAGCACCGGCUAACUCCGUGCCAGCAGCCGCGGUAAUACGGAGGGUGCGAGCGUUAAUCGGAAUUACUGGGCGUAAAGCGCAUGCAGGCGGCCUGUUAAGUCAGAUGUGAAAGCCCGGGGCUUAACCUCGGAAUUGCAUUUGAAACUGGCAGGCUAGAGUCUUGUAGAGGGGGGUAGGAAUUUCAGGUGUAGCGGUGAAAUGCGUAGAGAUCUGAAGGAAUACCAGUGGCGAAGGCGGCCCCCUGGACAAAGACUGACGCUCAGAUGCGAAAGCGUGGGGAGCAAACAGGAUUAGAUACCCCUGGUAG